AGAGUUUGAUCAUGGCUCAGGAUGAACGCUGGCGGUAUGCCUAACACAUGCAAGUCGAACGAUGUCUUCGGACAUAGUGGCGGACGGGUGAGUAACGCGUGAGAAUCUGCCUCUAGGAUGGGGAUAACGGUUGGAAACGACCGCUAACACCCAAUAUGCCGUAAGGUGAAAAAUUUAUUGCCUGGAGAGGAGCUCGCGUCUGAUUAGCUAGUUGGUGGGGUAAGAGCUCACCAAGGCUUCGAUCAGUAGCUGGUCUGAGAGGAUGAGCAGCCACACUGGGACUGAGACACGGCCCAGACUCCUACGGGAGGCAGCAGUGGGGAAUUUUCCGCAAUGGGCGAAAGCCUGACGGAGCAAUACCGCGUGAGGGAGGAAUGCCUUUGGGUUGUAAACCUCUUUUCUCAGGGAAGAAGAUCUGACGGUACCUGAGGAAUAAGUAUCGGCUAACUCCGUGCCAGCAGCCGCGGUAAUACGGAGGAUGCAAGCGUUAUCCGGAAUCAUUGGGCGUAAAGCGUCCGCAGGUGGUUUCCAAAGUCUGCUGUUAAAGACUGGAGCUCAACUCCGGAACGGCGGUGGAAACUUGGAAACUAGAGUUCGGUAGGGGUAGCAGGAAUUCCCAGUGUAGCGGUGAAAUGCGUAGAUAUUGGGAAGAACAUCGGUGGCGAAGGCGUGCUACUGGACCGUAACUGACACUCAGGGACGAAAGCUAGGGGAGCGAAAGGGAUUAGAUACCCCUGUAGUCCUAGCUGUAAACGAUGGAAACUAGGUGUGGCUUGUAUCGACCCGAGCCGUGCCGUAGCUAACGCGUUAAGUUUCCCGCCUGGGG
This 826-nucleotide ribosomal RNA is filed under the name uncultured marine microorganism. RNAcentral's name for it is "bacterial SSU rRNA". It matches the Rfam family "Bacterial small subunit ribosomal RNA", at positions 8 to 878 of the family's 1533-position model. The record is from RNAcentral.